This 2867-nucleotide ribosomal RNA is filed under the name Campylobacter coli. RNAcentral describes it as "partial 23S ribosomal RNA". It matches the Rfam family "Bacterial large subunit ribosomal RNA". Lineage: Bacteria; Pseudomonadati; Campylobacterota; Epsilonproteobacteria; Campylobacterales; Campylobacteraceae. The record is from RNAcentral.
GUAAGCUACUAAGAGCGAAUGGUGGAUGCCUUGACUGGUAAAGGCGAUGAAGGACGUACUAGACUGCGAUAAGCUACGGGGAGCUGUCAAGAAGCUUUGAUCCGUAGAUUUCCGAAUGGGGCAACCCAAUGUAUAGAGAUAUACAUUACCUAUAUAGGAGCGAACGAGGGGAAUUGAAACAUCUUAGUACCCUCAGGAAAAGAAAUCAAUAGAGAUUGCGUCAGUAGCGGCGAGCGAAAGCGCAAGAGGGCAAACCCAGUGCUUGCACUGGGGGUUGUAGGACUGCAAUGUGCAAGAGGUAAGUUUAGCAGAACAUUCUGGAAAGUAUAACCAUAGAGGGUGAUAGUCCCGUAUGCGAAAAACAAACCUUAGCUAGCAGUAUCCUGAGUAGGGCGGGACACGAGGAAUCCUGUCUGAAUCCGGGUCGACCACGAUCCAACCCUAAAUACUAAUACCAGAUCGAUAGUGCACAAGUACCGUGAGGGAAAGGUGAAAAGAACUGAGGUGAUCAGAGUGAAAUAGAACCUGAAACCAUUUGCUUACAAUCAUUCAGAGCCCUAUGUAGCAAUACAGGGUGAUGGACUGCCUUUUGCAUAAUGAGCCUGCGAGUUGUGGUGUCUGGCAAGGUUAAGCAAACGCGAAGCCGUAGCGAAAGCGAGUCUGAAUAGGGCGCUUAGUCAGAUGCUGCAGACCCGAAACGAAGUGAUCUAUCCAUGAGCAAGUUGAAGCUAGUGUAAGAACUAGUGGAGGACUGAACCCAUAGGCGUUGAAAAGCCCCGGGAUGACUUGUGGAUAGGGGUGAAAGGCCAAUCAAACUUCGUGAUAGCUGGUUCUCUCCGAAAUAUAUUUAGGUAUAGCGUUGUGUCGUAAUAUAAGGGGGUAGAGCACUGAAUGGGCUAGGGCAUACACCAAUGUACCAAACCCUAUCAAACUCCGAAUACCUUAUAUGUAAUCACAGCAGUCAGGCGGCGAGUGAUAAAAUCCGUCGUCAAGAGGGAAACAACCCAGACUACCAGCUAAGGUCCCUAAAUCUUACUUAAGUGGAAAACGAUGUGAAGUUACUUAAACAACCAGGAGGUUGGCUUAGAAGCAGCCAUCCUUUAAAGAAAGCGUAAUAGCUCACUGGUCUAGUGAUUUUGCGCGGAAAAUAUAACGGGGCUAAAGUAAGUACCGAAGCUGUAGACUUGCGCACAACUUAGAUUAUUUAAGUUUAGAAUAUGAGAAACUAAGUUAUAUGUUUAGUUAUAUUUUUACUGAUUUUUAUAGAGUAAAGAUAGAAAUAAAACUUAGUAAAAUCAGUAAAAAUAUUCUUAGACUAAAGUUAAGUAGUUUAAGUUGUGUGCAAGUGGUAGGAGAGCGUUCUAUUUGCGUCGAAGGUAUACCGGUAAGGAGUGCUGGAGCGAAUAGAAGUGAGCAUGCAGGCAUGAGUAGCGAUAAUUAAUGUGAGAAUCAUUAACGCCGUAAACCCAAGGUUUCCUACGCGAUGCUCGUCAUCGUAGGGUUAGUCGGGUCCUAAGUCGAGUCCGAAAGGGGUAGACGAUGGCAAAUUGGUUAAUAUUCCAAUACCAACAUUAGUGUGCGAUGGAAGGACGCUUAGGGCUAAGGGGGCUAGCGGAUGGAAGUGCUAGUCUAAGGUCGUAGGAGGUUAUACAGGCAAAUCCGUAUAACAAUACUCCGAGAACUGAAAGGCUUUUUGAAGUCUUCGGAUGGAUAGAAGAACCCCUGAUGCCGUCGAGCCAAGAAAAGUUUCUAAGUUUAGCUAAUGUUGCCCGUACCGUAAACCGACACAGGUGGGUGGGAUGAGUAUUCUAAGGCGCGUGGAAGAACUCUCUUUAAGGAACUCUGCAAAAUAGCACCGUAUCUUCGGUAUAAGGUGUGGUUCGCUUCGUAUUAGGAUUUACUCCGAAAGCGAAGAAACUUACAACAAAGAGUCCCUCCCGACUGUUUACCAAAAACACAGCACUCUGCUAACUCGUAAGAGGAUGUAUAGGGUGUGACGCCUGCCCGGUGCUCGAAGGUUAAUUGAUGGGGUUAGCAUUAGCGAAGCUCUUGAUCGAAGCCCGAGUAAACGGCGGCCGUAACUAUAACGGUCCUAAGGUAGCGAAAUUCCUUGUCGGUUAAAUACCGACCUGCAUGAAUGGCGUAACGAGAUGGGAGCUGUCUCAAAGAGGGAUCCAGUGAAAUUGUAGUGGAGGUGAAAAUUCCUCCUACCCGCGGCAAGACGGAAAGACCCCGUGGACCUUUACUACAGCUUGACACUGCUAUUUGGAUAAGAAUGUGCAGGAUAGGUGGGAGGCUUUGAGUAUAUGACGCCAGUUGUAUAUGAGCCAUUGUUGAGAUACCACUCUUUCUUAUUUGGGUAGCUAACCAGCUUGAGUUAUCCUCAAGUGGGACAAUGUCUGGUGGGUAGUUUGACUGGGGCGGUCGCCUCCCAAAUAAUAACGGAGGCUUACAAAGGUUGGCUCAGAACGGUUGGAAAUCGUUCGUAGAGUAUAAAGGUAUAAGCCAGCUUAACUGCAAGACAUACAAGUCAAGCAGAGACGAAAGUCGGUCUUAGUGAUCCGGUGGUUCUGUGUGGAAGGGCCAUCGCUCAAAGGAUAAAAGGUACCCCGGGGAUAACAGGCUGAUCUCCCCCAAGAGCUCACAUCGACGGGGAGGUUUGGCACCUCGAUGUCGGCUCAUCGCAUCCUGGGGCUGGAGCAGGUCCCAAGGGUAUGGCUGUUCGCCAUUUAAAGCGGUACGCGAGCUGGGUUCAGAACGUCGUGAGACAGUUCGGUCUCUAUCUGCCGUGGGCGUAAGAAGAUUGAAGAGAUUUGACCCUAGUACGAGAGGACCGGGUUGAACAAACCACUGGUGUAGCUGUUGUU